This 332-nucleotide unclassified non-coding RNA is filed under the name soil metagenome. Its description in RNAcentral is "partial contains 5.8S ribosomal RNA, internal transcribed spacer 2, and large subunit ribosomal RNA". The stretch from base 1 to 120 matches the Rfam family "5.8S ribosomal RNA", at positions 35 to 154 of the family's 154-position model. The record is from RNAcentral.
GAUGAAGAACGUAGCGAAAUGCGAUAAGUAGUGUGAAUUGCAGAAUUCAGUGAAUCAUCGAAUCUUUGAACGCACAUUGCGCCCUUUGGUAUUCCUUAGGGCAUGCCUGUUCGAGCGUCAUUUAAACCUUCAAGCUAAGCUUGGUGUAGGGUGACUGUCCGCUUCACGGCGGACUCGCCUCAAAAUUAUUGGCGGCCGGUACAUUGGCUUCGAGCGCAGCAGAAACGCGAACUCGGGCCCGUCGUAUUGGCUCCCAGAAGCUAUCUUCACAAUUUUGACCUCGGAUCAGGUAGGGAUACCCGCUGAACUUAAGCAUAUCAAUAAGCGGAGGA